RNAcentral lists this ribosomal RNA (306 nucleotides) under uncultured bacterium. RNAcentral describes it as "bacterial SSU rRNA". It matches the Rfam family "Bacterial small subunit ribosomal RNA", at positions 28 to 334 of the family's 1533-position model. The record is from RNAcentral.
GACGAACGCUGGCGGCGUGCCUAACACAUGCAAGUCGAACGGGGUAAUGACUUCGGUUAUUACUUAGUGGCGAACGGGUGAGUAACGCGUGAGAAACCUGCCUUUCAGUGGGGGACAACAGUUGGAAACGACUGCUAAUACCGCAUAAUGUAUCGAUGGGGCAUCCUGUUGAUACCAAAGCUUUAUGUGCUGAAAGAUGGUCUCGCGUCUGAUUAGCUAGUUGGUGAGGUAACGGCUCACCAAGGCGACGAUCAGUAGCCGGUCUGAGAGGAUGAACGGCCACAUUGGGACUGAGAUACGGCCCAG